GACGAACGCUGGCGGCGUGCCUAAUACAUGCAAGUCGAACGCUUCUUUCCUCCCGAGUGCUUGCACUCAAUUGGAAAGAGGAGUGGCGGACGGGUGAGUAACACGUGGGUAACCUACCCAUCAGAGGGGGAUAACACUUGGAAACAGGUGCUAAUACCGCAUAACAGUUUAUGCCGCAUGGCAUAAGAGUGAAAGGCGCUUUCGGGUGUCGCUGAUGGAUGGACCCGCGGUGCAUUAGCUAGUUGGUGAGGUAACGGCUCACCAAGGCCACGAUGCAUAGCCGACCUGAGAGGGUGAUCGGCCACACUGGGACUGAGACACGGCCCAGACUCCUACGGGAGGCAGCAGUAGGGAAUCUUCGGCAAUGGACGAAAGUCUGACCGAGCAACGCCGCGUGAGUGAAGAAGGUUUUCGGAUCGUAAAACUCUGUUGUUAGAGAAGAACAAGGACGUUAGUAACUGAACGUCCCCUGACGGGAUCUAACCAGAAAGCCACGGCUAACUACGU
Molecule: ribosomal RNA, 507 nt
Filed under: uncultured bacterium
Lineage: Bacteria
Description: partial 16S ribosomal RNA
Rfam family: Bacterial small subunit ribosomal RNA
Source: RNAcentral